GCUGCGGUUCCGCGGUUGUUAGCGCGUUCGAGCAUCUUUCGUUGGUUUUACUUGCGUUGGCCCGACGUUUCCUCUGCCGGAAGUGCCUGUUCUGAAUGCGGGCUCAGGACUUCCCUGGUGGCGCGGUAGUUCAGAAUCCACUUGCCAGUGCAGGGGACACGGGUUCGAGCCCUGGUCUGGGAAGAUCCCACAUGCCGCGGAGCAGCUAAGCCCCUGUGCUACAACUACUGAGCCUGUGCUCCAGAGCCCACAAGCCACAACUACUGAGCCCGCAUGCUGCAGCUACUGAAGCCUGCUCACCUAGAGCCCGUGCUCCGCAACAAGAGAACCCACUGCAAUGAGAAGCCCACGCACCACAACAAAGCGCAACGAGGAGUAAACCCCGCUCACCACAGCUAGAGAAAGACUUUGCACAGCAGCAAAGACCCAGUGCAGCCAUAAAUAAAUAAAUGAAAAAGAACACGGGCUCAGACUCUCUCUGCACUUAAUUUAGGCCUUCUAUGAUGUCUUACACAGUCUCCUCCUCUCUGGGGGCCUUCUUUCCCCUCUUCCUAGAACGGCAGCAAGACCCCACUGUGAGAAGGUUGGACCAAUGCUGGCUGCCUCUGCCUACCAGCUCCUGUGGACUGUCAAGGUCCCUCCUAGGCAUCACAUGAACCUACUGGCCAUCAUCAUUCUCUUCCUGCAGUUCAGAUGCUUUUUCAGCCAUCACACAAACUGCUGCAAGGGGCCUGAGAAAGUUUUAAAAUUACUCUUUUAGUUUAUUUAACAGUUAUAUGGCAGUUCUGACUUUAUUAUUAUUGUGUCCAUUUUAAUAUUAUAUUUUUCUAGGAAUUUUCCAUUUAAUACA
Non-coding RNA from Kogia breviceps (pygmy sperm whale), 850 nucleotides. The record is from RefSeq and is a predicted model, not a curated record. Lineage: Eukaryota; Metazoa; Chordata; Mammalia; Artiodactyla; Physeteridae.